GAUGAACGCUGGCGGCGUGCCUAAUACAUGCAAGUCGAGCGAACAGACGAGGAUCUUGCUCCUCUGACGUUAGCGGCGGACGGGUGAGUAACACGUGUAUAACCUACCUAUAAGACUGGUAUAACUUCGGGAAACCGGAGCUAAUACGGUAUAAUAUAUUGAACCGCAUGGGUGAAUAGUAAAAUACGGUGUUGCUGUCUCGUAUAGAGGGAUCCGCGCCGCAUUGGCUAGUUGGUAAGGUCACGGCUUAUCAAGGCAACGAUGCGUAGCCGACCGCAAGGGGUGAUCGGCGACCCUGGAACUGGGACACCGUCAAGACUCCUGCGGUAGGCAGCAGUAGGGAACCUUCCGCAAUGGGCGAAAACAUGACGGAGCAACGCCGCGUGAGUGAUGAAGGUCUUCGGAUCGUAAAACUCUGUUAUUAGGGAAGAACAAAUGUGUACGUAGCUAUGCACGUCUUGACGGUACCUAGUCAGAAAGCCACGGCUAACUACGUG
This 497-nucleotide ribosomal RNA is filed under the name uncultured bacterium. RNAcentral describes it as "partial 16S ribosomal RNA". It matches the Rfam family "Bacterial small subunit ribosomal RNA", at positions 28 to 507 of the family's 1533-position model. The record is from RNAcentral.